Molecule: ribosomal RNA, 1143 nt
Filed under: Triticum aestivum (bread wheat)
Lineage: Eukaryota; Viridiplantae; Streptophyta; Magnoliopsida; Poales; Poaceae
Description: partial small subunit ribosomal RNA
Source: RNAcentral
AUGGCUAGGACGGAUGCCUUCCAACGCCGCCGGCUGUGCGCGGACGAGGACCGCCUCGGCGCCCUCCCCGACGAUCUCCUCCUUGACAUCCUGCGCCGCCUCGACACCCGCACCGCGCUCGGUGCUGCGGCGCUCUCCAGGCGUUGGACCAGCCUGCCCCGCGAGGUCCCCGUCCUGGACCUCAAGGUCAGCGACAUACUGCCGCCGCGCUACCACCGGUGCUUCCGCCUCCGCGAAGAUGCCAGGGAUUCGAAAAUCAGCUCCACCUUGUCUGACAGGAGGCUUCUAGAGGCUAUCACCGCCCGGUACGAGCGCCGCGCCAUGCAAUCUAUGGUCUGCUCCGUCAAGAGCCUCCUGGCCAGCCCCGCUCGCCGGCGCGUGGAGAGGCUGUCGCUCGAGGUCUUGUCGGUCCCCACGCCGGCAGCCGCCUACGAGGAAGCGGUAGCCGCGUGCCCGCAGUUGCAAGUGCUACACAUCCUUUCAUGCGAGAUCAAGAUAAGUGCCUGCAUGGUGGUUCUUGAUGCGCCCAAAUCGGAAAUCAGGGAGCUUGUACUCGGCGGCAAGCUCAUGUCGGUGGAGAUCCGGUCUCUCCCGAAGCUCGAGAGUCUCGCUAGCCAGGAAGCUACCGUGCUGCUUUGCUCCGCCGCCGCCACCCCGUGCCUUGCACACGUGAGCCUCGCCUUCUCGGUUGGCCGACUGGAAGGGGGCGGUUUACCUGGACUAAACCGCUCCUAUCGCGACUUCUUGAUUCAGCGGCUCGUGCAGUUCUUCCAGGGCGCCAUCACCAUGAAGGAUCUCGUCUUACGGUUUACUGGGCCAGAGAUGUGGAUCAUGCCGAAGAAUCCCUUCUCUGCAAUGUCGAACCUGAGAAGGCUGCUGGUCGCCGACGUGCCUUCCUCAUGGGACGCCUCAUGGCCGUGCCUGCUCAUCGAGGCGGCGCCGUUACUUGAGAGCCUAUAUGUGCAUGUCUCCCACAGAGAAGAUGAGCCAAGACAGGAGGUGCCGGGGGAGACCUCGGCUUCGCGCCAUCGCCAUUUGAAGGAGCUGGUUGUCAUUGGAUUCCAGAGGACGGAGAGGCAGAUGCACCUUGUGAGGUUCGCCGUGGAGGUAUCCAUGGCGCUGCGGCGUGUCGCACUGCUCUAG